Molecule: non-coding RNA, 82 nt
Organism: Cercophora sp. LCS_1
Lineage: Eukaryota; Fungi; Ascomycota; Sordariomycetes; Sordariales; Lasiosphaeriaceae
Source: the annotation of a GenBank genome assembly
GGUUCUAUAGUGUAGCGGUUAUCACUCCGGAUUCUGAUCACCAGAUUUUCCGGCAACCCCGGUUCGAUUCUGGGUAGGACCU